Molecule: RNA transcript, 770 nt
Organism: Mastomys coucha (southern multimammate mouse)
Lineage: Eukaryota; Metazoa; Chordata; Mammalia; Rodentia; Muridae
Gene name: phosphoglycerate mutase 1-like
Exons: 1
Source: RefSeq, a predicted model, not a curated record
AUGGCUGCCUACAAGCUGGUCCUGAUCUGGCAUGGCGAGAGCUCCUGGAACCUGGAGAAUAGCUUCAGUGGCUGGUAUGAUGCUGACCUGAGCCCUGCGGGCCAGGAGGAAGUGAAGCUCGGCAGGCAGGUGUUGUAAGAUGCUGGCUAUGAAUUUGACAUCUUCUUCACCUCUGUGCAGAAGUGAGCAAUCCUGACCCUCUGGACAGUCCUGGAUGCCAUUGACCAGAUGUGGUUGCCAGUGGUCAGGACCUGGCGCCUCAAUGAGCGACACUAUAGGGGUCUAACAGGUACCAAUAAAGCAGAAGUGAGGCACAGGUAAAGAUCUGGAGACGAUCUUAUUAUGAUGCCCUAUUGCCUCCCAUGGAGCCUGACCAUCCCUUCUAUAGCAACAUCAGCAAGGAUCGCAUGUACACAGACCUUACUGAGGACCAGCUCCCCUCCUGUGAGAACCUGAAGGACACUAUUGCCAGAGCUCUGUCCUUCUGGAAUGAAGAAAUUGUCCCCCAGAUCAAGGAAGGGAAAAGGGUCUUGAUUAAUGCCCACGGCAACAGCCUUUGAGGCAUUGUCAAGCAUCUGGAGGGUCUCUCAGAAGAGGCCAUCAUGGAGCUGAGACUACCCAAAGGCAUUCCCAUCAUCUAUGAAUCGGACAAGAACUUGAAGCCCAUCAAGCCCAUACAGUUCUUGGGAGAUGAGAUGACCAUGCAUAAAGCCAUGGAGGCUGUGGCUGUUGAAGAAAUGAAGGCGAGAAAGGGCAAGUUGAUGAAAUGA